Molecule: non-coding RNA, 93 nt
Filed under: Mycetocola reblochoni
Lineage: Bacteria; Bacillati; Actinomycetota; Actinomycetes; Micrococcales; Microbacteriaceae
Also listed under: 1 other name
Description: TPP sequence
Rfam family: TPP riboswitch aptamer (THI element)
About the family: Vitamin B(1) in its active form thiamin pyrophosphate (TPP) is an essential coenzyme that is synthesised by coupling of pyrimidine and thiazole moieties in bacteria.
Source: RNAcentral
GCGAAAGACACGGGGUGCCCCGCCGGGGGCUGAGAACACACCCGAGAACCUGAUCUCGUUAGCACGAGCGGAGGAAUGUCGCGAUGAACAGUC